RNAcentral lists this ribosomal RNA (374 nucleotides) under uncultured eukaryote. Its description in RNAcentral is "partial 18S ribosomal RNA". It matches the Rfam family "Eukaryotic small subunit ribosomal RNA", at positions 592 to 975 of the family's 1831-position model. The record is from RNAcentral.
CAAUAGCGUAUAUUUAAGUUGUUGCAGUUAAAAAGCUCGUAGUUGGAUUUCGGUUAAGAGCGACCGGUCCGCCGUUUGGUGUGCACUGGUUGGUUUUAACUUCCUGUAGAGGACGUGCUCUGGGUUUAACGACCUGGACUCGGAGUCUACGUGGUUACUUUGAAAAAAUUAGAGUGUUCAAAGCGGGCUUACGCUUGAAUAUUUCAGCAUGGAAUAACACUAUAGGACUCCUGUCCUAUUUCGUUGGUCUCGAGACGGGAGUAAUGAUUAAGAGGAACAGUUGGGGGCAUUCGUAUUUCAUUGUCAGAGGUGAAAUUCUUGGAUUUAUGAAAGACGAACUUCUGCGAAAGCAUUUGCCAAGGAUGUUUNCAUUA